This 270-nucleotide ribosomal RNA is filed under the name uncultured archaeon. RNAcentral's name for it is "partial 16S ribosomal RNA". It matches the Rfam family "Archaeal small subunit ribosomal RNA", at positions 477 to 747 of the family's 1478-position model. The record is from RNAcentral.
CAGCAGCCCGAGUGGUGAUCCUUUUUAUUGGGCCUAAAGCGUCCGUAGCCGGACUAGUAAACCCUUGGGUAAAUCGUAUCGCUUAACGGUACGAAUUCUGGGGAGACUGCUAGUCUUGGAACUGGGAGAGGUCGGAGGUACUCCAGGGGUAGGGGUGAAAUCCUGUAAUCCUUGGGGGACCACCAGUGGCGAAGGCGUCCGACUAGAACGGAUUCGACGGUGAGGGACGAAGCCGUGGGUCACAAACCGGAUUAGAUACCCCCGUAGUCC